AAUAACUUAAUUUUUUUAGCACCACCAAUAGACGUUAUAAACCCCACUCAAUAGUAAUGACCUUUGAUUUACUUUUAGAAACUUUCUCCAACUAUCUUAUUGCUAAGCUGCUCAAGAGUCUAAGCUUUUUAAAACUGAAACAAUAAUAAUUUAAUUACUCUGUUUUGUUCCUAUGUGGUUGGAUCAAAUUACAAUCUGAUUUGAAGUUCAAUUGAAAAUUUUGAUGACAUGGCACAGAAUGGUUAAAUCUUA
RNAcentral lists this unclassified non-coding RNA (252 nucleotides) under Hevea brasiliensis (rubber tree). Lineage: Eukaryota; Viridiplantae; Streptophyta; Magnoliopsida; Malpighiales; Euphorbiaceae. The record is from RNAcentral.